This 468-nucleotide ribosomal RNA is filed under the name uncultured bacterium. RNAcentral's name for it is "partial 16S ribosomal RNA". It matches the Rfam family "Bacterial small subunit ribosomal RNA", at positions 28 to 507 of the family's 1533-position model. The record is from RNAcentral.
GACGAACGCUGGCGGCGUGCUUAACACAUGCAAGUCGAACGGAAAGGCCCUGCUUGUGUGGUGUUCUCGUGUCGCGCACGUGUGUAUAACACGUGAGUUACCUGCUCUUCACUUUGGUAUGACUUCAAGACACUGGGGCUUAUCCCGGAUAGGCGCUCCUGCUGCAUGUUGGUGGAUGGAAUUUUUCGGCGGUGGUGGAUGGACUCGCGGCUUAUCAGCUUGUUGGUGGGGUAGUGGCUUACCAAGGCUCUGACGGGUAGCCGGCCUGAGAGGGUGACCGGCCACAUUGGGACUGAGAUACGGCCCAGACUCCUACGGGAGGCAGCAGUGGGGAAUAUUGCACAAUGGGCGGAAGCCUGAUGCAGCAACGCCGCGUGCGGGAUGACGGCCUUCGGGUUGUAAACCGCUUUCGCUAGUGACGAAGCGUGUGUGACGGUAAUGAGUUAAGAAGCACCGGCUAACUACGUG